This 500-nucleotide ribosomal RNA is filed under the name uncultured Glomeromycotina. RNAcentral's name for it is "partial small subunit ribosomal RNA". It matches the Rfam family "Eukaryotic small subunit ribosomal RNA", at positions 591 to 1092 of the family's 1831-position model. The record is from RNAcentral. Lineage: Eukaryota; Fungi; Glomeromycota.
CCAAUAGCGUAUAUUAAAGUUGUUGCAGUUAAAAAGCUCGUAGUUGAAUUUCGGGAUCGACGGGUCGGUCGCGCCUCUGGUGUGUACUGGCCCUGUCGGUUUCUCCCUUCUGAAGAACCGCGAUGUCAUUAAUUUGGUGUCGUGGGAAAUCAGGACUGUUACGUUGAAAAAAUUAGAGUGUUUAAAGCAGGCAUUCGCUUGAAUACAUUAGCAUGGAAUAAUGAAAUAGGAUGUUUGAUCUUAUUUUGUUGGUUUCUAAGAUCGACGUAAUGAUUAAUAGGGAUAGUUGGGGGCAUUAGUAUUCAAUUGUCAGAGGUGAAAUUCUUGGAUUUAUUGAAGACUAACUACUGCGAAAGCAUUUGCCAAGGAUGUUUUCAUUAAUCAAGAACGAAAGUUAGGGGAUCGAAGACGAUCAGAUACCGUCGUAGUCUUAACCAUAAACUAUGCCGACUAGGGAUCGGAUGAUGUUAAUUUUUUAAUGACUCAUUCGGCGCCUUACG